This is a long non-coding RNA of Lethenteron reissneri (Far Eastern brook lamprey), 3047 nucleotides long. RefSeq lists it as uncharacterized. NCBI's taxonomy places the organism in Eukaryota, Metazoa, Chordata, Hyperoartia, Petromyzontiformes, Petromyzontidae. The record is from RefSeq and is a predicted model, not a curated record.
UGGUGGUAGGGGGUGGUGGUAGUGACGGGGGGUGGUGGUAGGGGUGGUAACACCCCUCUGGGCAGCCCGCUGAGAGAGGAGAGGUCACGGCAAAGACAAAGAGGAAUGGCGUCCGGCAAGCUGAGCCGCCACCACCACCACCACCCCACCACUAACCCCGGCCGGCGACGAGACGGAGAGCAGCAAGGACAUCUCGACAUCACGUACUCCAACACCACCACCAGCACCACCACGCCACCAUUCACCAACACUUUGACCACUCGCGAUCUCCAUCGUCCCCGCCGCAGUCGGUGACUUCACAUUCUCGUGUGUGUCCCUCCCACGCACUUUGCUCGUCCCGCUCGUUCCGUCAUUGCCAUCCGCCACACGAUUUGCCACUCGCUACACUAUUUGCGAUGCGAUCGCAAUCCGGCACCGUUAUUAACACGUGUGUGUGUGUGUGUCCACGUUGCUAACACUCGCCCACCUUCACCCAGCACACUCACGAACCAGCCCAAACAACGAAGCCAAAAGCUACGUUCAUGCCACACCACAUAACCUUCAUCUCAACCACUCAUCAUCAACAUUAUCCACUGUCCAGACAUCCUCGACGUUCCCCUUCACCACCACCACGACCACCACCAUCAUCAUCAUCUCCUUGGUGGCCACACACCGACCACAUGGAUGGGACACGCCGAUGUAUCCUGUCAAUGUGAAGAGGGGCUACUUUGUGGUUGGCGGUGUUGGUUGUUGCUGCCCUCUGACCGUCGUGCGCAGUCUCGGACACGUCUGGCAACAUCACAGGUUGACGUUUAAAAAUCAUCCUAAUUUUACGGAGAAGACGCUGUCGUUAUGCAUGGUGCAUCCUGUACAAGUUGGGUCACAACGGUGGUGAUGAUGGUGGUAGUCUUCCAUCACGGAGUCUCUAAAGCAUUGAAAUACAGCAGGGCUGAAAAACACAAGCUUGGGUUCCAUGCUGUCGGACAAGGCUUAAGUGAUACCGAUGAAGACUGCAAGACAGGAGGAAUACCCCAUAGGAGGCACUGCGCCUUCAGGUUCAACCCUGGCAUGAAUUGGAGAGAGUUACAUGGGCUGUUGCAACUCGUGGCUAAUUAUUAUUAUAGCCACCUCGAGCUCGGAGUCUUAUGGUGAAUGAAUAAGUUUCGUACGCAUACUUUAAGGAUGCAGUAUUUUUUGAGCUUAUGAAAGAGCAGAAUUUUGCCAACGCUGAGCCAAACUAUACCACCACAGUGAAAUAAGCUUAAAAGGUUAAACAAAAUAUACUGAAGCACAUUAGCUGGUUUAAAUGCUGACGGAAAAUAACUGUUUUUGUCACCUACCGUUAGAUUCCAGAAAUUCCACCAUUGGCUCCGUGCUGCAGUGGAGAUGAGCAUUGUCCCGCCCUCGUGUGACUAGGGAGACAUGUUUACUAACCCAUAGACCUGCAUGGUGCAGCAUAACCCAGUGGCAAUUACUUAUCGGGUAAUGACUAACUGAAGUUAAAACAGAUCUAAUUUGCCCUUAAAAUUGUGUUCUUGCGAUAUGUUAUUCCAGAAAACACGUUGAUCAUGAAAAUACAUUCUACUUUAUUUUGGUUACUGAUCAUACACAUGUUUAUUCGUGAAAAAAGGUUGGCUUUCUGCGGGCUACAUGGCUUCUGCUGAUAGCUCUAACGGUAUCUUUACUGCCAACUGCGUUCUUUUGUACGGAAAUUCUAGUCGCCUAAAAUGUUAUCGUCGGAUUAAACUCGUCACCUCGGUGGUUUGUAAAGAGAUUGGGCUUAACCUUAGGAACCUAAGUUCCACCACUGGCUCAUGCUGCGCAGUGCUCGUGAAAUCACUUUGACUUUGAAUCAAUGGAAACUUUACCAAUUGUUGCUAGCUCUGGAUUAGAUUUUGUAAAAUUAAACGCGAUGCUACAAUAUUGCACUGAGGUAGCAUAUGUCACGCGAUAUUUUUUUUUAUCAGUCGUUGUUUUCCAUAACACUGGAUUAUUUUCCAAAUGUUUCUUAAUUUUGGGACAUUUGGUACGGCGCUUUAGUUUGUAAGACCGGCUUGGCUCUGAACAUGGCACUUAGCGAAGCUUAAUCUUUGCCUGCCUUACCUGGUUCCCUUGCAUAAGUAUAAUUUGCAAGAAGCAAAACUUGAAAACCUGUUCGUGUACACGCGGUGCCUGGGUAUUGGCUCGUGUUGUGAUGCACAAGCGCGCUUGUGUGUGUGUGCGCGCGCGCGUGCGUGUGUGUUUGCGCGCGCGUGAGAAUAAACAGCAAUGUGCUUGCUCUGCAGCGAGCGCAUUGACGCAUGCGUUGCCAGCUGUGCUCUGCGGAAAAAUCCAUAUGCGCACAUCUACCGUCACAGAAGGGAAGUGAAAUUGUUAUGCUAAUUGUGAUGCGAUAAUAAAAUCAAAUUGGACGAUGCCGAAACGUGCAACCCCCCCGUACACAAAUAAAUCUCUUGCGCGGUGUAAAAAAAAGAAUUUUAGCGGGUAAAACCGUGGAACAGAUGACACUGAUGUCUUGACCAUAUUGCGGUGGCAGUUGGUGUGAGUGAGACUUCGCGGAGUGUGCGAAGUGCAUAUUGGCAAGUCGAUGCGCACAGAAACAGGGUCAUUGACAGUUGCGCUGCAAUAGAACAUGCUUGAGCUCUCGCUGCUUGUGGUUAUCAAACUAAUCAUUGGGUCUCGUCAACAUUCUUGCUUUGACCUUUUUGGUCAUUCCAAGCGUGCACAUACCGCACGUGAAUUUAUUUCAUUGGUGCAUAAGUGGACUGGUGGUGGAGUCUGCUCACGGAGUUUACGAAUUACGUGUACAGUAAUGUCUUUAUAAAUCUGUUGUGACCUUAUCAGGUCUGUCCUUUUGUAUGACAUUUUGAAAGCCAUUGGACCGCAUUUGUGAUGAUAAUGAAGAGUAUGGGUUUCCUUUGGUGCAAAAAUGACAACGGAAAAAAAAUGUUUACUUGCCCGAAAAACCAAAGGGUACAUGUUGGAGUUUGCAGCUGUGGUGCAAAUUGUAUUGACAAGGAUGCAUCAUCCGUCAUUAUUUGUAAUAAUAAAAUAAUGACCGCCUGGAA